GGUUAAGCGACUAAGCGUACACGGUGGAUGCCCUGGCAGUCAGAGGCGAUGAAGGACGUGCUAAUCUGCGAUAAGCGUCGGUGAGGUGA
This 89-nucleotide ribosomal RNA is filed under the name Escherichia coli. RNAcentral describes it as "partial 23S ribosomal RNA". It matches the Rfam family "Bacterial large subunit ribosomal RNA", at positions 1 to 89 of the family's 2925-position model. The record is from RNAcentral. Lineage: Bacteria; Pseudomonadati; Pseudomonadota; Gammaproteobacteria; Enterobacterales; Enterobacteriaceae. RNAcentral also lists the same sequence under 1 other name.